GUGUGAGAUGUUGGGGAAAGGGGCAUCAACAAAUAGAAAACUUUUAGAAGUAACAUCUCAAGUUUUCCCUUCCUAUGAACCAACAAGUUCCACUCCAGAACUCAUAUCCAUUUUCAUAAGUAUUAACCACCUACAAAACUCACAGGCAGGCAAGUUUAAACUUUAAAGUAAUGCAACAGUUAAUCAUAAAUUCAUAACACAUAUGAGCAACAUAAUAAGAAUGAUAUGAGGGCAAAUAUAUGUUAACUGAUAAAGUACCAAGAAAACAUACUUCAAUACUGCACGA
RNAcentral lists this unclassified non-coding RNA (286 nucleotides) under Hevea brasiliensis (rubber tree). The record is from RNAcentral. Lineage: Eukaryota; Viridiplantae; Streptophyta; Magnoliopsida; Malpighiales; Euphorbiaceae.